This 253-nucleotide ribosomal RNA is filed under the name uncultured bacterium. Its description in RNAcentral is "partial 16S ribosomal RNA". It matches the Rfam family "Bacterial small subunit ribosomal RNA", at positions 524 to 776 of the family's 1533-position model. The record is from RNAcentral.
UACGAAGGGGGCUAGCGUUGCUCGGAAUCACUGGGCGUAAAGCGCACGUAGGCGGCUUUCUAAGUCAGGGGUGAAAUCCUGGAGCUCAACUCCAGAACUGCCUUUGAUACUGGAGAGCUUGAGUCCGGAAGAGGUGAGUGGAACUCCGAGUGUAGAGGUGAAAUUCGUAGAUAUUCGGAAGAACACCAGUGGCGAAGGCGGCUCACUGGUCCGGUACUGACGCUGAUGUGCGAAAGCGUGGGGAGCAAACAGG